AUGAAUGAGCUUCGGAAGGAAAUGCUUCGUUUGCCAGAGUUAUGCGCACAGAGGAUGAUUGAGAAACUGAACAAAACCGGCGUCUUCUACAAACCCAGUAACCUGGAAGAAGACGAAGAGAAUCUGUACGGAGGCAUUAAUGAGUCUUCAAACGAUGGUGGACUUCCGAAAAAAGAGUUUGUAUAUCAAAAAGAUGAUUCAGACCGGUUCCGCACACCUUCCAAAAUGAAUUUGCAAAAGGAUGAUGACGGCGUUGAUGUAACUUCUCGUGGAAACACACCUUUUUACUACACACCUGAGUACUGGGAUAGUUUCAAGGGUGAUAUGGAUGAUCCUAUCCAAGUACCAGAAGUAUCAGAUGAAAAAGCUACCACAUCUUUAGGGACGGACGAGAUCGCAUCGCAUGCAUCGCUUGGUUCUCAAGAAGUACAAGAGGAAGUGGAGGAGGUAAUUAAUGCAUACUCAUCAUAUUUGGUCGACAAAGUUAAUGAUGAUCGUUUCAUGUUGACAACUUGGAGGAUACAUUGGUUGCUUCACAUUAGACCCGGAAAGAAGACCGCCGGUAACGAUUAUGAAGUAGAGUCGCAUAGUAAUGGGCCCGUGAAUAGAUGUGAGGACGAGUAUUUCAAAAAAUCAAAGAGAAAACAACUAGCAGAAAAUAUCCAAGAAGCAAAUGCAACCGGAAUUGUGAAUUAUCCGGAUGUUUCCAAUUGGCCUAUUCAAACGUAUGACAUGCCAAAACAACAUGAUGGGAAUUCGUGUGGAAUAUUUCUCCUUCGAUGCUUUCAAUAUUGGGAUGGUGACAAAUGGACAGGCUUAUUUUCACAUAGGUCAAUUGAUGAUUCGAGAGAGGUAAUGAUAGCGCAACUUAUCUUUUCGGAAAGAAACAAGCUUGAUGAAGUGAAAAACAAAGUUAUUCGGAUAUCAAAGAAGAAGAAAUAG
Molecule: ribosomal RNA, 942 nt
Filed under: Triticum aestivum (bread wheat)
Lineage: Eukaryota; Viridiplantae; Streptophyta; Magnoliopsida; Poales; Poaceae
Description: partial small subunit ribosomal RNA
Source: RNAcentral